This 334-nucleotide unclassified non-coding RNA is filed under the name soil metagenome. RNAcentral's name for it is "partial contains 5.8S ribosomal RNA, internal transcribed spacer 2, and large subunit ribosomal RNA". The stretch from base 1 to 120 matches the Rfam family "5.8S ribosomal RNA", at positions 35 to 154 of the family's 154-position model. The record is from RNAcentral.
GAUGAAGAACGCAGCGAAAUGCGAUACGUAAUGUGAAUUGCAGAAUUCAGUGAAUCAUCGAAUCUUUGAACGCACAUUGCGCCUGCCAGCACUCUGGCAGGCAUGCCUGUUCGAGCGUCAUUUCAACCAUCAAGCCCUAGGCUUGCGUUGGAGCCCUGCGGCUGCCGCAGGCCCCUAAAAGCAGUGGCGGGCUCGCUAUCACACCGAGUGCAGUAGAUUACUCUUCGCUCAGGGCGUGUGGCGGGUUCCAGCCGUGAAACCCCCUACUUCUCAAGGUUGACCUAGGAUCAGGUAGGAAUACCCGCUGAACUUAAGCAUAUCAAUAAGCGGAGGA